CACCUCUCAGGAUCGCACCUGGAGAGUUUCCAGUACUUUACCAGUCUCGACUACAGGAGGGAGAGUCAAGCAGAGGCAUGAACUUUCCAUUCCUAGCUUGGACAGUGGCUAGCGAGUGGAAGGCAACCUGCUACAAGU
Small nucleolar RNA from Tachyglossus aculeatus (Australian echidna), 138 nucleotides. Lineage: Eukaryota; Metazoa; Chordata; Mammalia; Monotremata; Tachyglossidae. The record is from RefSeq and is a predicted model, not a curated record.